AAAAAAGCCGAUGUCGAUUCUGUGGGAGAAGAGUGGAACAUGGCGGUGGUUAGUGAGGAGAACGAAGGAAUCGAAGCCGUUCUUCAUCGGAUUCGCCACCGUUUGCGGCGUCAUUCCGGGGAUUAUUGGUUUCUGCGUUAUGUCAGCCACCAAUACUCGCAGUCCUGAACUUGAAGCCCAACUACGGAAGAACGCUCGUCCAGAAUCCCUAAUGAUGGGUAAAGUUAAUAAAGAGAGGUUGGCUGAGUACCUUGGCGAACUGCAGAGAAAGGAGAACACAAAUGACAGAUAUGUUGCAGCUCUAAAGGGCGAAACGUUGACAAGGAAACCUUACCAAAGAAUUCAACCAGUCCCAAAUCCAAGUGAUAUUGAAGCAAAGAAGGAACAGAAGUAGAUCGUGGCUUAACCGGUUUUGUUGAUUUAGUUUGGUACUUCUACUUUUUCCAAUGGAUAAAGCUUUGGAAUGGAAUCAUGGACACAACUGGAGUUAUUGCUAUAUAUCUUUGAAACUUGUACAAGUAAAAUUUGAAGAACGACUGUUGUCGAAUGAGUGAAAUCUCAUUGAAGUUAAAAUAACCACAUCUUAGUUCUAGCGCGAGUAAUCUUGUUUACUUGCAUUGCGAUAUUGUGUUAUGCGUGCAAGGAUUUGUUGUACUUGAUUACUAUAUAGUAUGAAAGUGCACGAUUUAAGUGAAUAUUUUCUUAUGUAA
This 710-nucleotide unclassified non-coding RNA is filed under the name Hevea brasiliensis (rubber tree). Lineage: Eukaryota; Viridiplantae; Streptophyta; Magnoliopsida; Malpighiales; Euphorbiaceae. The record is from RNAcentral.